This 496-nucleotide ribosomal RNA is filed under the name uncultured bacterium. Its description in RNAcentral is "partial 16S ribosomal RNA". It matches the Rfam family "Bacterial small subunit ribosomal RNA", at positions 28 to 506 of the family's 1533-position model. The record is from RNAcentral.
GAUGUACGCUGGCGGCGUGCCUAAUACAUGCAAGUCGAGCGAACAGAUGAGGAGCUUGCUCCUCUGACGUUAGCGGCGGACGGGUGAGUAACACGUGGAUAACCUACCUAUAAGACUGGGAUAACUUCGGGAAACCGGAGCUAAUACCGGAUAAUAUAUUGAACCGCAUGGUUCAAUAGUGAAAGACGGUUUUGCUGUCACUUAUAGAUGGAUCCGCGCCGCAUUAGCUAGUUGGUAAGGUAACGGCUUACCAAGGCAACGAUGCGUAGCCGACCUGAGAGGGGGAUCGGCCACACUGGAACUGAGACACGGUCCAGACUCCUACGGGAGGCAGCAGUAGGGAAUCUUCCGCAAUGGGCGAAAGCCUGACGGAGCAACGCCGCGUGAGUGAUGAAGGUCUUCGGAUCGUAAAACUCUGUUAUUAGGGAAGAACAAAUGUGUAAGUAACGAUGCACGUCUUGACGGUACCUAAUCAGAAAGCCACGGCUAACUACGU